GAGUGGCGGACGGGUGAGUAAUGCUUGGGAACUUGCCUUUGCGAGGGGGAUAACAGUUGGAAACGACUGCUAAUACCGCAUAAUGUCUACGGACCAAACGGGGCUUCGGCUCCGGCGCAAAGAGAGGCCCAAGUGAGAUUAGCUAGUUGGUGGGGUAACGGCCCACCAAGGCGACGAUCUAUAGCUGGUUUGAGAGGAUGAUCAGCCACACUGGGACUGAGACACGGCCCAGACUCCUACGGGAGGCAGCAGUGGGGAAUAUUGGACAAUGGGGGAAACCCUGAUCCAGCCAUGCCGCGUGAGUGAAGAAGGCCCUAGGGUUGUAAAGCUCUUUCAACUGAGACGAUGAUGACGGUAUCAGUACAAGAAGCCCCGGCUAACUUCGUGCCAGCAGCCGCGGUAAUACGGAGGGUGCGAGCGUUAAUCGGAAUUACUGGGCGUAAAGCGCACGCAGGCGGUUUGUUAAGCUAGAUGUGAAAGCCCCGGGCUCAACCUGGGAUGGUCAUUUAGAACUGGCAGACUAGAGUCUUGGAGAGGGGAGUGGAAUUCCAGGUGUAGCGGUGAAAUGCGUAGAUAUCUGGAGGAACAUCAGUGGCGAAGGCGACUCCCUGGCCAAAGACUGACGCUCAUGUGCGAAAGUGUGGGUAGCGAACAGGAUUAGAUACCCUGGUAGUCCACACCGUAAACGCUGUCUACUAGCUGUGUGUGCCUUUA
This 714-nucleotide ribosomal RNA is filed under the name uncultured bacterium. RNAcentral's name for it is "bacterial SSU rRNA". It matches the Rfam family "Bacterial small subunit ribosomal RNA", at positions 93 to 834 of the family's 1533-position model. The record is from RNAcentral.